Molecule: unclassified non-coding RNA, 263 nt
Filed under: Hevea brasiliensis (rubber tree)
Lineage: Eukaryota; Viridiplantae; Streptophyta; Magnoliopsida; Malpighiales; Euphorbiaceae
Source: RNAcentral
AUCAGUAUUUUGUUUGGACUCAAAAAAAAUACUGAUUGAAUAAAUACUAUAAGAUACAAGGAGGUUACAUGAUACAUGAUUGUUUGCACAACCCCAAUCUCAGUCCCUUGUGAAACAAGAAACUGAAUUCAUGAUUGUCUAUUAGUUACAAACCUUGAAGAAUAAUGACAUGGAAAAACUUCUAAUAAUCAAAUCACUGUCAAAAUCCAUUGGACAAUAAUCUGAGGAAAUCACACAAAAACCUCUCAACUGGAGGAAAGAAA